Molecule: long non-coding RNA, 655 nt
Organism: Cotesia glomerata
Lineage: Eukaryota; Metazoa; Arthropoda; Insecta; Hymenoptera; Braconidae
Exons: 5
Source: RefSeq, a predicted model, not a curated record
UAUUACCAAUACGUUAACAUAAUCGUUUGGUGGUUACUAUUGGCUGAUGCUCAUAUUGGAAGGCUCCGACAGCCUUCUUUUACUCUUAAAUAAGAAUUAUUCAUACGAGCUCGAGUGUGUUACAACAACAGCGACUAAUACUAAACAAAAAAGAAGAAAAAAAAUCAGAAGUUAGGUGUGUGGUGGUGUGCAUCAAUGCGACUCUAUGCCACCUUCCCGAACAAGGAUCACCGUGUCGCAGUCGCGGUGUAAUGUUUUAAAUGUCAUCGGGUCCCCGGCAGCAGUCCCAGUAACAACUACUAACGUUUUUAAAAAGCAACACGCUUACUCAAUUGUCAUAAUUUUCUUGCUUUGCUUUCACGUAUCAUUUUUUUAACCUUAAAUUCAUCUCAUUACACAUUAUGAGGAUUAUUAUUAUUAUUGUGGUCGUGAUGUUUUCUUCGAUGCACGCGAAUCAAUAUGUAUUAAAAUAAUAAUUAAUAGUGAGUCGUAUCUCGAUGAGGAUCUUGUUUGAGAACAACCAGUGACAUCGUGCAAUCGCUAUUAUGUCGUAGAUAGUAAACGAGAUUGUCUUCCUCUGGAUGGGCGGCGAUCCACUCAAGACCCUUGAGGAUCGCUUCAGGGAUCGGCGGAGAAACUGGAAGAUGAUCCCCAG